This 97-nucleotide small nuclear RNA is filed under the name Sorex araneus (European shrew). Lineage: Eukaryota; Metazoa; Chordata; Mammalia; Eulipotyphla; Soricidae. The record is from RNAcentral.
UUGCUUUGGCAGCAGGUACACUAAAAUUGGAAUAAAACACAAAAGAUCAGUGUGGCCUCUGUUUGACACAUAGAUUCAUGAGGCAUUCCUUAGAAAA